RNAcentral lists this ribosomal RNA (1254 nucleotides) under metagenome. Its description in RNAcentral is "bacterial LSU rRNA". It matches the Rfam family "Bacterial large subunit ribosomal RNA", at positions 1633 to 2878 of the family's 2925-position model. The record is from RNAcentral.
CCUACACGACCGUACCGCAAACCGACACUGGUGCGCGAGAUGAGUAUUCUAAGGCGCUUGAGAGAACUCAGGAGAAGGAACUCGGCAAAUUGACACCGUAACUUCGGAAGAAGGUGUGCCUUUAGUAGGUGAACCAUUUACUUGGGGAGCCCAAUGAGGCUGCAAAAAAUCGGUGGCUGCAACUGUUUAUUAAAAACACAGCACUCUGCUAAGACGAAAGUCGACGUAUAGGGUGUGACGCCUGCCCGGUGCUGGAAGAUUAAAUGAUGGGGUGCAAGCUCUUGAUUGAAGUCCCAGUAAACGGCGGCCGUAACUAUAACGGUCCUAAGGUAGCGAAAUUCCUUGUCGGGUAAGUUCCGACCUGCACGAAUGGCGUAAUGAUGGCCACACUGUCUCCUCCUGAGACUCAGCGAAGUUGAAAUGUUUGUGAUGAUGCAAUCUCCCCGCGGAAAGACGGAAAGACCCCAUGAACCUUUACUGUAGCUUUGUAUUGGACUUUGAACAGAUCUGUGUAGGAUAGGUGGGAGGCUUUGAAGUGUGGUCGCUAGAUCGCAUGGAGCCAACGUUGAAAUACCACCCUGGUGUGUUUGAGGUUCUAACCUAGGUCCAUUAUCUGGAUCGGGGACAGUGCAUGGUAGGCAGUUUGACUGGGGCGGUCUCCUCCCAAAGUGUAACGGAGGAGUUCGAAGGUACGCUAGGUACGGUCGGACAUCGUGCUAAUAGUGCAAUGGCAUAAGCGUGCUUAACUGCGAGACUGACAAGUCGAGCAGAUGCGAAAGCAGGACAUAGUGAUCCGGUGGUUCUGUAUGGAAGGGCCAUCGCUCAACGGAUAAAAGGUACUCUGGAUAACAGGCUGAUACCGCCCAAGAGUUCAUAUCGACGGCGGUGUUUGGCACCUCGAUGUCGGCUCAUCUCAUCCUGGGGCUGUAGCCGGUCCCAAGGGUAUGGCUGUUCGCCAUUUAAAGAGGUACGUGAGCUGGGUUUAAAACGUCGUGAGACAGUUUGGUCCCUAUCUUCCGUGGGCGCUGCAGAUUUGAGGAAGCCUGCUCCUAGUACGAGAGGACCGGAGUGGACGAACCUCUGGUGUAUCGGUUGUCACGCCAGUGGCAUUGCCGAGUAGCUAAGUUCGGAAGAGAUAACCGCUGAAAGCAUCUAAGCGGGAAACUCGUUUCAAGAUUAGAUCUGCCGGGGCCUUGAGCCCCCUAAAGAGUCGUUCAAGACCAGGACGUUGAUAGGUCAGGUGUGGAAGCGAAA